RNAcentral lists this ribosomal RNA (392 nucleotides) under uncultured bacterium. Its description in RNAcentral is "bacterial SSU rRNA". It matches the Rfam family "Bacterial small subunit ribosomal RNA", at positions 30 to 424 of the family's 1533-position model. The record is from RNAcentral.
AUUGAACGCUGGCGGCAUGCCUUACACAUGCAAGUCGAACGGCAGCACGGGAGCAAUCCUGGUGGCGAGUGGCGAACGGGUGAGUAAUAUAUCGGAACGUGCCCAGUCGUGGGGAUAACGUAGCGAAAGCUACGCUAAUACCGCAUACGAUCUAUGGAUGAAAGCGGGGGAUCGCAAGACCUCGCGCGAUUGGAGCGGCCGAUAUCAGAUUAGGUAGUUGGUGAGGUAAAGGCUCACCAAGCCGACGAUCUGUAGCUGGUCUGAGAGGACGACCAGCCACACUGGGACUGAGACACGGCCCAGACUCCUACGGGAGGCAGCAGUGGGGAAUUUUUGGGACAAUGGGCGCAAGCCUGAUCCAGCAAUGCCGCGUGCAGGAUGAAGGCCUGGUU